This 452-nucleotide ribosomal RNA is filed under the name uncultured bacterium. Its description in RNAcentral is "bacterial SSU rRNA". It matches the Rfam family "Bacterial small subunit ribosomal RNA", at positions 28 to 507 of the family's 1533-position model. The record is from RNAcentral.
GAUGAACGCUGGCGGCGUGCCUAACACAUGCAAGUCGAGCGAUUUACUUCGGUAAAGAGCGGCGGACGGGUGAGUAACGCGUGGGUAACCUGCCCUGUACACACGGAUAACAUACCGAAAGGUAUGCUAAUACGAGAUAAAAUACUUUUAUCGCAUGGUAGAAGUAUCAAAGCUUUUGCGGUACAGGAUGGACCCGCGUCUGAUUAGCUAGUUGGUAAGGUAACGGCUUACCAAGGCGACGAUCAGUAGCCGACCUGAGAGGGUGAUCGGCCACAUUGGAACUGAGACACGGUCCAAACUCCUACGGGAGGCAGCAGUGGGGAAUAUUGCACAAUGGGCGCAAGCCUGAUGCAGCAACGCCGCGUGAGCGAUGAAGGCCUUCGGGUCGUAAAGCUCUGUCCUCAAGGAAGAUAAUGACGGUACUUGAGGAGGAAGCCCCGGCUAACUACGUG